Molecule: ribosomal RNA, 495 nt
Filed under: uncultured bacterium
Lineage: Bacteria
Description: partial 16S ribosomal RNA
Rfam family: Bacterial small subunit ribosomal RNA
Source: RNAcentral
GAUGAACGCUGGCGGCGUGCCUAACACAUGCAAGUAGAACGCUGAGGGCCGAGCUUGCUCUUCCGGAUGAGUCGCGCACGGGUGUGUAACGCGUAUGUACCCUGCCUUGCAGCGGGGUAAAACUAUUGGACACGAUAGCUAACACCGCAUGACAACACUUAUUGCAUGAUAACUGUUUAAAUGGGUCAACUGCUCCACUACCACAUGGCCCUGCGUUGUAUUAGCUGGUUGGUGAGGUAACGGCUCUGCAAGGCGUCGAGACAUAGCCGACCUGAGCGGGGGAGCCGCCACGAGGGGACUGAGACACGGCUCAGGCCUCUGCGGGAGGCCGCAGUAGGGAAUCUUCGGCAAGUGGCGGAAGUCGGACCGAGGGACGCCGCGUGAGUGAAGAAGGGUGUCGGAUCGUAGAGGUCUGUUGUGUGGGAAGAACGAGUGUGAGAGGAGGAAGUUCACGCUGUGACGGUAUCGGACGAGAAAGCAACGGCUAACUACGUG